CUUAAAUCCCGAAGAAACCCCUUAUUAACCCACCUUAAACCCCACUUAAACCUCUUCCUCUCUAUAUCUCCUUCUCAGUAUGAAAAGGUGUCGACUGAUUAGAGACUGCAACCUCCAGGCAGAGCACAGAAAAACAGUAACAAAGUUUGCAAAUAAAAAUUAGUGAAAAGAAACCAAAAAUUCAGAGUACGAAUCAGAAAAAAACAAUGAAAUCAAAAACAGAUGGAUUAUGAGAGUGAAAUGAUUUCAGAUGAUUUGAUGAAGUGUGAAUUAAGAAAAGAAAGAAAGAAACAGAAUAAAAUAAAAUAAAAAUGGAAGAACUGGAAACGGAAAGAAGAAUGAAUUGAAGAACAAGAGCUCAAGCUCAGUUUGUACAAGCUUUGAACCAAAGGAGAAAAUACAGACUAGAUCAUUGAUACCCCUCUUUUCCUCCACCACAAGCUUAUAAAGACAGCUAAAGUUACAGUUGUCCCUAUCUAAUUCUCCCGCCCAAGCCUAAUUCUGUUACAAUUUCAAACACCUUGCUAACAUCAGCCUAACUAAUCUACUAUUACAGCUGGAACCAUCUUCCUGACUUACUGCCUCGAUGACUAUCAAUUAUAACAGAGAGAUUAGAUGUGGAGUCGACGAAUAAGGGUUGAAGAGAGACUUCGCUGAAGAGAAGAAGGAGGACGAAUAUAAGGGUUGAAGAGAGACUUCUAUUUUCAUGCUAAAUAUUCAACAAUACUGUAUCACAAAAAAUUUCACAUAAUG
Molecule: long non-coding RNA, 753 nt
Filed under: Panax ginseng (ginseng)
Lineage: Eukaryota; Viridiplantae; Streptophyta; Magnoliopsida; Apiales; Araliaceae
Description: long non-coding RNA (PGIN_LNC006907)
Source: RNAcentral